RNAcentral lists this ribosomal RNA (326 nucleotides) under uncultured eukaryote. RNAcentral's name for it is "partial 18S ribosomal RNA". It matches the Rfam family "Eukaryotic small subunit ribosomal RNA", at positions 1470 to 1796 of the family's 1831-position model. The record is from RNAcentral.
CCCUUAGAUGUUCUGGGCUGCACGCGCGCUACACUGAUGCACUCAACGAGUUUACGACCUUGCCCGAUAGGGUUGGGUAAUCUUUUUAAAAUGCAUCGUGAUGGGGAUAGAUUAUUGCAAUUAUUAAUCUUCAACGAGGAAUUCCUAGUAAGCGCGAGUCAUCAGCUCGUGCUGAUUACGUCCCUGCCCUUUGUACACACCGCCCGCCGCUCCUACCGAUUGAGUGCUCAGGUGAAUAAUUCGGACUGCAGCAAUGUUUGGAUCCCGAACGUUGCAGCGGAAAGUUUAGUGAACCUUAUCACUUAGAGGAAGGAGAAGUCGUAACA